UAGAAUUCCAGGUGUAGCGGUGAAAUGCGUAGAGAUCUGGAGGAAUACCGGUGGCGAAGGCGGCCCCCUGGACGAAGACUGACGCUCAGGUGCGAAAGCGUGGGGAGCAAACAGGAUUAGAUACCCUGGUAGUCCACGCCGUAAACGAUGUCGACUUGGAGGUUGUGCCCUUGAGGUGUGGCUUCCGGAGCUAACGCGUUAAGUCGACCGCCUGGGGAGUACGGCCGCAAGGUUAAAACUCAAAUGAAUUGACGGGGGCCCGCACAAGCGGUGGAGCAUGUGGUUUAAUUCGAUGCAACGCGAAGAACCUUACCUGGUCUUGACAUCCACGGAAGUUUUCAGAGAUGAGAAUG
This 353-nucleotide ribosomal RNA is filed under the name Shigella flexneri. Its description in RNAcentral is "bacterial SSU rRNA". It matches the Rfam family "Bacterial small subunit ribosomal RNA", at positions 662 to 1014 of the family's 1533-position model. The record is from RNAcentral. Lineage: Bacteria; Pseudomonadati; Pseudomonadota; Gammaproteobacteria; Enterobacterales; Enterobacteriaceae.